Molecule: ribosomal RNA, 459 nt
Filed under: uncultured bacterium
Lineage: Bacteria
Description: partial 16S ribosomal RNA
Rfam family: Bacterial small subunit ribosomal RNA
Source: RNAcentral
CCUACGGGCGGCAGCAGUGAGGAAUAUUGGUCAAUGGGCGGGAGCCUGAACCAGCCAAGUCGCGUGAGGGACGACGGUCCUAUGGAUUGUAAACCUCUUUUGUCGGGGAACAAAGGCGCCCAUGGGUGGGCGGAUGAGUGUACCCGAAGAAAAAGCAUCGGCUAACACCGUGCCAGCGGCCGCGGUAAUACGGGGGAUGCGAGCGUUAUCCGGAUUUAUUGGGGUAAAAGGGUGCGUGGGCGGACGGUAAAGUCAGCGGUAAAAAUGCGGUGCUAAACGCCGUACAGCCGUUGAAACUGGCAGUCUUGAGUGCGCGAGAGGUAUGCGUAAUGCGUGGUGUAGCGGUGAAAUGCAUAGAUAUCACGCAGAACUCCGAUUGCGAAGGCAGAAUACCGGCGACCUACUGACGCUGAGGCACGAAAGCGUGGGUAUCGAACAGGAUUAGAUACCCCAGUAGUC